UCCUUAUCUGGUGUCUGUGCCCCUUUAGUCCUACAGAUGGAAGCCCAGAAUGACAUUGACUUAUGAAUUUCCCUGUAGAUUCUAGCACGGGUUUAGAGGCGGAGGAGGAGGAGAAGAAAAGGCCUAUGAAAUUAAUACUGUUAUCAAUUGCUUCUGGUGUUCUCAUCUCAGCUUUUAUCAAUGGAGGUGUAUUUUUAAUGGCAAGACUAAAGAAGCGAGGUAACAAUUCAACUUCUGUAGUGGACUGCUCUAAAUAAUAUGAUAUAGUCUAUUAUUAAUCAAAGCAUAACUUCGAGCGAAUACUGAAGCAUUAGUUAACUUUCCCUUUCGCUUCAUAGAAGUGAAAAUGAAUAAUGAGGAUCUAGAAUUACCUGUGAUCAAAAUGGCUACUAUUAUGCAAGCAACAAAUAAUUUCUCCACCGAAAACAUGAUUGGAGUUGGAGGAUUCGGUCCUGUUUACAAGGUAAUGUACUAAAUGAAAAAGCUGAAGUCGAACAACAAAAAUAUACUUGCCUUACUUGUAAACUAACAUGCAUAAGCAGGGGAACAUGCCAUCUGGAGAAGAAAUCGCAGUCAAAAGAUUAUCCAGAUGCUCACAUCAGGGUCUCGAAGAGUUCAGAAACGAAGUUAUGGUGAUUGCAAACCUUCAACAUAGAAACCUCGUUAGACUUUUGGGAUGUUGCAUUGAAGAAGAGGAAAGGAUGUUAAUCUAUGAAUACCUGCAGAAUAAAAGUCUUGAUCUUUCUCUUGUUGGUAUACUCAGAUUUAUCCUUCAUCUUUUUCUCGUGCUUGUGAAAUCCCAUACUUUCAUCACUAACAUCCACAUGGUGUUCAAUCACUUGCAGAUCAAUAUCGGAGAACAC
Molecule: long non-coding RNA, 863 nt
Filed under: Salvia miltiorrhiza (redroot sage)
Lineage: Eukaryota; Viridiplantae; Streptophyta; Magnoliopsida; Lamiales; Lamiaceae
Description: long non-coding RNA (SMIL_LNC005640)
Source: RNAcentral